CGAACGCUGGUCCCGUGCUUAACAAUACAAGUCACGGGGGCUCGCAAGAGCAACCGGCGAACGGGUGCCCAACACGUGAACAACCUGCCCUCGUGUGGGGGAUAGCCGGGCUAACGCCCGGGUAAUACCGCAUACGUUCUUUCUGGGGAGUCCUGGGAAGAGGAAAGCUCCGGCGCACGGGGAGGGGUUCGCGGCCUAUCAGCUAGUUGGUAGGGUAAUGGCCUACCAAGGCAACGACGGGUAGCUGGUCUGAGAGGACGAUCAGCCACACUGGGACUGAGACACGGCCCAGACUCCUACGGGAGGCAGCAGUGGG
RNAcentral lists this ribosomal RNA (316 nucleotides) under uncultured Gemmatimonas sp. Its description in RNAcentral is "bacterial SSU rRNA". It matches the Rfam family "Bacterial small subunit ribosomal RNA", at positions 30 to 358 of the family's 1533-position model. The record is from RNAcentral. Lineage: Bacteria; Pseudomonadati; Gemmatimonadota; Gemmatimonadia; Gemmatimonadales; Gemmatimonadaceae.